Leopardus geoffroyi (Geoffroy's cat) is the source of this 2529-nucleotide long non-coding RNA. RefSeq lists it as uncharacterized. The record is from RefSeq and is a predicted model, not a curated record. Lineage: Eukaryota; Metazoa; Chordata; Mammalia; Carnivora; Felidae. The transcript is spliced from 3 exons.
CCACUCACAGUCUCUCUUUAAAACAAGUAAACAAACAAACAAACAAACAAAAAAGAGUACUUUGAACGGUUGUACACAAACAAAUUGGGUAACCACUAAAAUUUAACCAGCUGACGUUUGGUAAGUGUUCCUCACACAUGACAUUAAUACAAAAGCUAAGUUGUACUAUGGUAAUCUAGGAGGGUUGGGGAUCAGACAAAUAUCUAAGCUACUCCAAAAUGGUUAUGGAACCAAAACUCAAACGGAGCUGAUACAGCUAGCUGGGAUUACAACAGGGAUUGCAUUUCAACUUAAUCUUCUUAUCCUAAAGCAAGUAUAUUGUAUCUGAGAAAAGGGAGUGAAAGAAAAGAAUAAAAGGAAGAUGCUCAAGAAACUGAGAAGCGCAAAGGAGUAAGAAGGUAGGUAAUGAGAAAAAAGGAGAAAGGAAAGGAUCCAGGGAGACAAGGAGAAAGCAAGAAACAGUCACAGCAACUUGUAAUCAAACAGUAAGAAGUUUCUAAUUGUUUCCUCUUUCCAGCUGCAAGACUUGGGCUCUGGACCAUCUUUCCUGUUACUUCUCAUACACUUUAUUUAAUGUCACUAGGGACACUGCAGGCUGAUGUGUCUGCCUCAGGUCCUCUUCAGAAAACUGAACAAUUAUGAAUAGGGCCAUCGUAAGAAGGAAAGGACGGCAUACCACGGGCCAUUAUUAGUGAAAUAGACACACGUAAGUCAUGUUCUGUAAUUGUUACUCAAGACCAUUCAUGUUACAAACCAAUGUUCCUCAACUGUGGCCACAUGUUAGAAUGGUCUGGUAAGCUAAAAAACAAAACAAAGCAAAACAAAAUAAAAAACCCCAAACUCCACCCGUAGAGAUUCAAAUUUAAUUGGUCUGAAGUAAGGAGGCCUUGAUAUUUUGUGGUUCUUUUGGUUUGUGGUUUGUUUUUUGUUUGUUUGGUUGGUUUUUUCUUUUUCUUUUUUCUCCUCCUCCUCCUCCUCCUCCUUCGCUGCCUUCUUCUUCUUCUUCUUCUUCUUCUUCUUCUUCUUCUUCUUCUUCUUCUUAACUUCCUACAUGAUUAUAAUAUGAUCUGGAGCUUAGGACCACUUUUACAGAAAGACAAUUUCUGAAGUAUGCUACAUGCAUAUUUAUUGCUAAAAUAAUUAAUUUUGGUUGUUGUGAACUAUUAAGCUUUUAUUUCCCUGAAAUCAAGGGGAAUUUUCUGAAUGCUUUGAUCUCAUUCAUCUGACAGCAAAAACAAAAACAAAAACAAAAACAAAAACAAAAAAACACUAUUUAAUUGUUUCUAACACAUGUUCAAGGCACUGUGUCACAACUUUUGUAUUUUAUUUUGUUUCAUUUUAGCCACGACCUUACAAGGACCUCAAGUCAACCUUUCAUUGCAUUUCUCAAAAGGCAUUUUAGUGUCUUGUCUGCAAUUGGUACUAUGCUAUUUGUAUGGAAUAAAAAUUGGUGGGUAUUGAGCCUAUAACAACCCCAUCCUUUUCUCCCACAUUCAUAGAAGAAAACUUACCUAUUCCAGAAACAGAACAAACUGUUUACGGCUAUUGUCUUUCUCCGGUCUGCUACGGAUGAAGCUUCUGGCAAUAUGAAUCACUCUGCUUUUGAGAAGAUACAGUGAGCAUAUACAUAUCUUCCUAAAUCUUUACAUCUUAUUUUAAAAGACUGUUAACAUUCUUAGUUGUCAUCAUAGCAAAGCUUUAAGAUUUCUUCUGUUUUCAUAAUCAAAAUGCCUCAUGAAGCUCUUGAGUGAAUGACGGGAUUUCCCAAAGACAAGUUCAGGCACUUCUGAUAAUAGUCCCAGAAUAGAGAUGUUGGAACCAAUGAGUGGAAAGAAUCCUGGAACUGCAUUUGGAAGAUACAGACUAAAACUGAUCUGGAAUGCUUCCAGACUGCAUGACCUUAUGCAGAUCAUUUAACCCUUAUGAUUCCCAACGUCUUUGGAGAUGGUAGUUCCUGCCCCAGUUAGCCACCAAAAGACACAGUGAGCACAGAAGAGUUCUUUGGAGGCACAUUUUUUCACUUUUGAAAAGAACAGUGCAAAUGGGUAUGUUUGUUCCCCUUCCUCCUGUCACUUGUCUCCACCCCUCUCUGCAAGGUGCCCGGAAAGCACCAGCACUGCUAACCCAGCUCUGUGGGAACAGAAGAUUCCAAGUGGCUGAACAGGUCACCCGGUGCAGACAGGUGGAGUACAGAGAUUGGCCUGGGACAAAGGAACCAAAGAAGACAAUAGGCUGAAAGAAUCAGAAAAGCAAGCGGGAGUCUCUGGUAGCAAACAUAAGAAGCCAACUCUGUAAUCUAAGGAGAAAAUAAAACUUGUGGAAGGUCACGAGGGUGACUCAUGGGAAUGAAAGGAGCCUUUUGGUCAUUGUAAUUUCAAAUCAUGACGGCUCAGAAGCUGUCCUUAAGAAUAAGAAUAAACUGAAGAACUUUUUACCUCCUCCACGGAUAGUAUCGGCGUCUACGGAUGUAGUGUGACUGUGGCAGCAGAAAAAGACGUGACACGAGACAGGUUCUCAAUGAGUUCAGAC